AUAAUCUCGGGAAACUGAGGAUAAUACCCAUAGACCACUACGCCUGGAACGGUGAGUGGUUGAAAGCUCCGGCGGUGUAGGAUGGGUCUGCGGCGUAUCAGGUCGUAGGGGGUGUAAUGGACCUCCUAGCCAUCGACGCGUACGGGUUGUGGGAGCAAUAGCCCGGAGACGGAUUCUGAGACACGAAUCCGGACCCUACGGGGUGCAGCAGGCGCGAAAACUUCACACUGCAGGAAACUGUGAUGAGGGAACUCCAAGUGACUGCACAAUGUGUAGCCUUUUCUUGAAUCUUAAUAGUUCUUGGAAUAAGGGCUGGGAAAGACCGGUGCCAGCCGCCGCGGUAAUACCGGCGGCUCAAGUGGUCGUCGCUUUUAUUGGGCCUAAAACGUCCGUAGCCUGUUUGGUAAAUCUGUGGGUAAAUCAACGAGCUUAACUCGUUGAAUUCUGCAGAGACUGGCAGACUAGGGACCGGGAGAGGUAUGAGGUACUCUGGGGGUAGGGGUAAAAUCCUGUCAUCCU
RNAcentral lists this ribosomal RNA (519 nucleotides) under uncultured rumen archaeon. RNAcentral describes it as "bacterial SSU rRNA". It matches the Rfam family "Archaeal small subunit ribosomal RNA", at positions 126 to 649 of the family's 1478-position model. The record is from RNAcentral.